This 464-nucleotide ribosomal RNA is filed under the name uncultured Geobacteraceae bacterium. Its description in RNAcentral is "partial 16S ribosomal RNA". It matches the Rfam family "Bacterial small subunit ribosomal RNA", at positions 338 to 794 of the family's 1533-position model. The record is from RNAcentral. Lineage: Bacteria; Pseudomonadati; Thermodesulfobacteriota; Desulfuromonadia; Geobacterales; Geobacteraceae.
CCUACGGGAGGCAGCAGUUGGGAAUCUUGCGCAAUGGGCGAAAGCCUGACGCAGCGACGCCGCGUGGAGGAUGACGGCCUUCGGGUCGUAAAGCUCUGUCAGAGGGGAAGAAAUGCAGGUGGUGAACAACCAUUCUGUUUGACGGUACCCUCAAAGGAAGCACCGGCUAACUCCGUGCCAGCAGCCGCGGUAAUACGGAGGGUGCGAGCGUUGUUCGGAAUUAUUGGGCGUAAAGCGCGUGUAGGCGGUUUGUUAAGUCGGAGGUGAAAGCCCCGGGAUCAACCUGGGAAGUGCAUCGGAUACUGGCAGACUGGAGUACGGGAGAGGAGAGUGGAAUUCCCAGUGUAGGAGUGAAAUCCGUAGAUAUUGGGAGGAACACCGGUGGCGAGGGCGGCUCUCGGGACCGAUACUGACGCUGAGACGCGAAAGCGUGGGGAGCAAACAGGAUUAGAUCCCCGGGUAGU